CCCAGACUCCUACGGGAGGCAGCAGUGGGGAAUAUUGCACAAUGGGGGAAACCCUGAUGCAGCGACGCCGCGUGAGUGAAGAAGUAAUUCGUUAUGUAAAGCUCUAUCAGCAGGGAAGAAAAUGACGGUACCUGAGUAAGAAGCCCCGGCUAACUACGUGCCAGCAGCCGCGGCAAUACGUAGGGGGCAAGCGUUAUCCGGAUUUACUGGGUGUAAAGGGAGCGUAGACGGCUGCGCAAGUCAGAAGUGAAAGCCCGGGGCUCAACCGCGGGACUGCUUUUGAAACUGUGUAGCUAGAGUGCAGGAGAGGUAAGUGGAAUUCCUAGUGUAGCGGUGAAAUGCGUAGAUAUUAGGAGGAACACCGGUGGCGAAGGCGGCUUACUGGACUGUAACUGACGUUGAGGCUCGAAAGCGUGGGGAGCAAACAGGAUUAGAUACCCUUGUUC
RNAcentral lists this ribosomal RNA (446 nucleotides) under uncultured bacterium. RNAcentral's name for it is "bacterial SSU rRNA". It matches the Rfam family "Bacterial small subunit ribosomal RNA", at positions 330 to 793 of the family's 1533-position model. The record is from RNAcentral.